GACGAACGCUGGCGGCGUGCCUAAUACAUGCGAGUCGAACGCUGAAGCGAGGAGCUUGCUCUUCUUGGAUGAGUUGCGAACGGGUGAGUAACGCGUAGGUAACCUGCCUUGUAGCGGGGGAUAACUAUUGGAAACGAUAGCUAAUACCGCAUAACAAUGGAUGACACAUGUCAUUUAUUUGAAAGGGGCAAUUGCUCCACUACAAGAUGGACCUGCGUUGUAUUAGCUAGUAGGUGAGGUAACGGCUCACCUAGGCGACGAUACAUAGCCGACCUGAGAGGGUGAUCGGCCACACUGGGACUGAGACACGGCCCAGACUCCUACGGGAGGCAGCAGUAGGGAAUCUUCGGCAAUGGGGGCAACCCUGACCGAGCAACGCCGCGUGAGUGAAGAAGGUUUUCGGAUCGUAAAGCUCUGUUGUAAGUCAAGAACGAGUGUGAGAGUGGAAAGUUUACACUGUGACGGUAGCUUACCAGAAAGGGACGGCUAACUACGUG
This 497-nucleotide ribosomal RNA is filed under the name uncultured bacterium. RNAcentral's name for it is "partial 16S ribosomal RNA". It matches the Rfam family "Bacterial small subunit ribosomal RNA", at positions 28 to 507 of the family's 1533-position model. The record is from RNAcentral.